AUCCUUUUGUAGUUCAUAGGUGUGAUGAUUGGGUUUUCACAAUCAUAUGAGAGAUGUGCCUUUCUUAAACCUUGUUACCCCCAUGUUGACACAUUACCUGUCUGGUG
Lemur catta (Ring-tailed lemur) is the source of this 107-nucleotide small nucleolar RNA. RefSeq annotates it as small nucleolar RNA U13. The record is from RefSeq and is a predicted model, not a curated record. The transcript has a single exon. Lineage: Eukaryota; Metazoa; Chordata; Mammalia; Primates; Lemuridae.